AAAUCUUCUUAAAAUUUUAGACACUAAAUGCUUGUGAUCUUGGCUUGGUCCUAAGUGAUCUUGUUUGGUUUAGUCAUUGUAGUCAGAUUUGAAUAAUCCUGUCAAGGCCCAGAUAUAGGGCUUCUGGGACAGGAUUUCAUUUGAAGCCAGAGAAUCCACAUCCUCCAAACCAUGAUGGGCUGUAGAAGCCACAUCUACAGCCUCCAUAGCCAAAGCCCAGUCUGCGGAAGCUGCUGCAUCCACAGCCAUAGCCAUGGCCCAGGCCACCAAAGCCACCAAAUCCGUAGCCCAGGCCUCCGUAGUAGUUGCUGUAGUGGCUCGUGGUGUCAGGGGUGGCUGUGAAGAUACUGACCUGUGUGAGAAUAGAAUAGUUUCAAAUGAAAUGCAGUUAUACCGGUCAAAGGUCCUCUAAUGGAGUUACCAGACUUUAUCUACUAUGUCCUCUCCUGUGAAAGCACAACACAGCACUGUGAAGGUGACAAGAGCUCACUAAGUUUCUUUAUCUUCAUGUUGUAUAAACAAAUCCAAAUGUUUCCAAUAAAAUCCAUGAUCUUGAGAAUUGAGUUGUAACAUUAUUCACUCUUGAUUUGCCUUGAAGUACAACUAAAUUAGAAAUUGAGAAGUAGAAGAUUAUAUACAAUAAAAUAAAAUUGUAACAAUAAAAAUGUAAAAGAAAACACAAUAAAAGGUAGUUAAUCUAACACAGGGAACUAAUCCCCAUAAAUUCAGCUAUAAAACUGUAGCUGUUCAGAAAUAUGACAAGACUUUCCAUAUGGUAUUCGAAUUUUUAAGUAUUCAAUCAAAGAGAGUAUGAUGGAGUAGAUCACCAGGAUUCAGGUGACCUGCUUUCUGAUCUUGGUUUUGACACUUGUGUUUAUGAUUCUAGGCAAGUCACUUAACUGUUUGGAGGGUUUUCUUUACCUGUACUGUAGAGGGCAG
RNAcentral lists this long non-coding RNA (939 nucleotides) under Equus caballus (horse). RNAcentral describes it as "lncRNA (ENSECAG00000044129.1)". The record is from RNAcentral. Lineage: Eukaryota; Metazoa; Chordata; Mammalia; Perissodactyla; Equidae.